GCCCUCGUAGAAAAAUGGUAAUUCGCCAGACUCCUAAUCUGGAGAUUGCGGUAGGUCUCUCUCCCCUUGUUCCCUUCCCUUCACUCUAGCUGACCGAAUCCAGGGUUCGAGUCCCGUCGGGGGUG
Molecule: non-coding RNA, 125 nt
Organism: Podospora appendiculata
Lineage: Eukaryota; Fungi; Ascomycota; Sordariomycetes; Sordariales; Podosporaceae
Source: the annotation of a GenBank genome assembly